GUUUUCCAACCUUUCAAACAGAUUCGCAGCUGAUAAGUCACAGUCGUAGUUCACAUAGAUAUCCACGACACUCUGUGCAUCCGCACAAAUACGAGUCAAAGCGUGAAUCACCAUCCAUUUGUGUUCGAAAGAACUGCUAGAAGUCUCGAGGAUAUUCAUAAAAAUCUCCUUGAAGAAAACCUCUAUCUGCAUCUUUAAGUGCACUUUGAAGCGAGCCAGCAGUGCAAGAAACAAUGCUAGAGAUAAUUCAAACACCUCGGGAACGGAAGAGACACCGUUUUUCGAGAGUGCUACACAGAGGAUACCCAGAAGCAAUUGUAAGGAAAGGAUCUUCGACCUGAGCUGGUGGGACCUAAAGAGAGUAUACCACAAAAAUUUCAUAAGAUGCCAAACCUUGAG
Molecule: unclassified non-coding RNA, 399 nt
Filed under: Bombus terrestris (buff-tailed bumblebee)
Lineage: Eukaryota; Metazoa; Arthropoda; Insecta; Hymenoptera; Apidae
Description: misc RNA ENSBTSG00005033122.1
Source: RNAcentral